Spodoptera litura is the source of this 336-nucleotide non-coding RNA. Lineage: Eukaryota; Metazoa; Arthropoda; Insecta; Lepidoptera; Noctuidae. The record is from RefSeq and is a predicted model, not a curated record.
UGUGCCUCGUCAUUAAUGCAGAAACUUAUCUUAAGAAGCUAAGACAGAAGACCGGAGGUCAACGUCCUUUUUCCAUUGAGAGGACUACUUCUCACAAUAGCACAGAAAGUCCAAACUGCAGUCGAAACUCUGAAGUUAUGAAGACACCAAAUAGAAGCACUAUUCGUUGGAAAAUAAUGCAUUACCUCGGCGUGUUUGUAGCGUGGCGCUCCGUGCCGCUUAUGGUAAUACUAUACUAUAUAUUUGGUGCCGCGGUAUUCGGUCUGGCCCGCGGUAAAACUUCGCUAGACAUCGCAUUGUUCCCGCUAGAGUUCACCACUAGCGGCGGAUUGGAAC